This 372-nucleotide ribosomal RNA is filed under the name uncultured organism. Its description in RNAcentral is "bacterial SSU rRNA". It matches the Rfam family "Bacterial small subunit ribosomal RNA", at positions 526 to 896 of the family's 1533-position model. The record is from RNAcentral.
CGUAGGUGGCAAGCGUUGUCCGGAAUUAUUGGGCGUAAAGCGCGCGCAGGCGGUUCCUUAAGUCUGAUGUGAAAGCCCCCGGCUCAACCGGGGAAGGUCAUUGGAAACUGGGGAACUUGAGUGCAGAAGAGAAGAGCGGAAUUCCACGUGUAGCGGUGAAAUGCGUAGAGAUGUGGAGGAACACCAGUGGCGAAGGCGGCUCUUUGGUCUGUAACUGACGCUGAGGCGCGAAAGCGUGGGGAGCAAACAGGAUUAGAUACCCUGGUAGUCCACGCCGUAAACGAUGAGUGCCAAGUGUUAGAGGGUUUCCGCCCUUUAGUGCUGCAGCUAACGCAUUAAGCACUCCGCCUGGGGAGUACGGCCGCAAGGCUG